GUUGUUGCAUCUCCUUCUUGUUGCCCGAUGACGCGACAAUAUCCACUCUACGCCACUGAGCUCACCAGAUUUGGUCUUAGGCCGUCUAGAUUUAGCCCCUGGCUUGCUAGAUCUAUGUGAUAGCAGUGAUGGUGGAUGCAUCUCAAAUAUAAUAAAAGAUUAGGCUCCUCUUAUCCCCUCUAUCAUGUUUGUUCUUUAGCAGCCGGAGCUUUGGGGCCAAAACAAGGCCUCAUGAAACCUUCCCACGAUAAAAGGAGUCCCUUU
RNAcentral lists this long non-coding RNA (264 nucleotides) under Oryza brachyantha (malo sina). RNAcentral describes it as "long non-coding RNA (OBRA_LNC001422)". Lineage: Eukaryota; Viridiplantae; Streptophyta; Magnoliopsida; Poales; Poaceae. The record is from RNAcentral.